RNAcentral lists this ribosomal RNA (301 nucleotides) under uncultured bacterium. RNAcentral describes it as "partial 16S ribosomal RNA". It matches the Rfam family "Bacterial small subunit ribosomal RNA", at positions 509 to 807 of the family's 1533-position model. The record is from RNAcentral.
CAGCCGCCGCGGUAAUACGUAGGUGGCAAGCGUUGUCCGGAAUUAUUGGGCGUAAAGGGCUCGCAGGCGGUUCCUUAAGUCUGAUGUGAAAGCCCCCGGCUCAACCGGGGAGGGUCAUUGGAAACUGGGAAACUUGAGUGCAGAAGAGGAGAGUGGAAUUCCACGUGUAGCGGUGAAAUGCGUAGAGAUGUGGAGGAACACCAGUGGCGAAGGCGACUCUCUGGUCUGUAACUGACGCUGAGGAGCGAAAGCGUGGGGAGCGAACAGGAUUAGAUACCCCAGUAGUCCCUGUCUCUUAUAC